This 449-nucleotide ribosomal RNA is filed under the name uncultured organism. RNAcentral's name for it is "partial 16S ribosomal RNA". It matches the Rfam family "Bacterial small subunit ribosomal RNA", at positions 332 to 797 of the family's 1533-position model. The record is from RNAcentral.
UACACUCCUACGGGAGGCAGCAGUGGGGAAUAUUGGACAAUGGGCGAAAGCCUGAUCCAGCAAUGCCGCGUGAGUGAUGAAGGCCUUAGGGUUGUAAAGCUCUUUUACCCGGGAUGAUAAUGACAGUACCGGGAGAAUAAGCCCCGGCUAACUCCGUGCCAGCAGCCGCGGUAAUACGGAGGGGGCUAGCGUUGUUCGGAAUUACUGGGCGUAAAGCGCGCGUAGGCGGCUUUGUAAGUUAGAGGUGAAAGCCCGGAGCUCAACUUCGGAAUUGCCUUUAAGACUGCAUCGCUAGAAUCGUGGAGAGGUGAGUGGAAUUCCGAGUGUAGAGGUGAAAUUCGUAGAUAUUCGGAAGAACACCAGUGGCGAAGGCGACUCACUGGACACGUAUUGACGCUGAGGUGCGAAAGCGUGGGGAGCAAACAGGAUUAGAUACCCCAGUAGUCCCA